UGGGGAAUAUUGCACAAUGGGCGCAAGCCUGAUGCAGCCAUGCCGCGUGUGUGAAGAAGGCCUUCGGGUUGUAAAGCACUUUCAGCGAGGAGGAAGGUGGUGAACUUAAUACGUUCAUCAAUUGACGUUACUCGCAGAAGAAGCACCGGCUAACUCCGUGCCAGCAGCCGCGGUAAUACGGAGGGUGCAAGCGUUAAUCGGAAUUACUGGGCGUAAAGCGCACGCAGGCGGUUUGUUAAGUCAGAUGUGAAAUCCCCGGGCUCAACCUGGGAACUGCAUUUGAAACUGGCAAGCUAGAGUCUCGUAGAGGGGGGUAGAAUUCCAGGUGUAGCGGUGAAAUGCGUAGAGAUCUGGAGGAAUACCGGUGGCGAAGGCGGCCCCCUGGACGAAGACUGACGCUCAGGUGCGAAAGCGUGGGGCAGCAAACAGGAUUAGAUACCCUGGUAGUCCAGCGCUGUAAAACGAUGUCGAUUUGGAGGCUGUGCCCUUGAGGCGUGGCUUCCGGAGCUAACGCGUUAAAUCGACCGCCUGGGGAGUACGGCCGCAAGGUUAAAACUCAAAUGAAUUGACGGGGUCAUAGCUGUUU
RNAcentral lists this ribosomal RNA (586 nucleotides) under uncultured bacterium. Its description in RNAcentral is "partial 16S ribosomal RNA". It matches the Rfam family "Bacterial small subunit ribosomal RNA", at positions 355 to 935 of the family's 1533-position model. The record is from RNAcentral.